This 73-nucleotide transfer RNA is filed under the name Trichonephila inaurata madagascariensis. It matches the Rfam family "tRNA". Rfam says of the family: Transfer RNA (tRNA) molecules are approximately 80 nucleotides in length. Their secondary structure includes four short double-helical elements and three loops (D, anti-codon, and T loops). The record is from Rfam by way of RNAcentral. Lineage: Eukaryota; Metazoa; Arthropoda; Arachnida; Araneae; Nephilidae.
CGGGGUAUAGCUCAGUGGUAGAGCAUAUUCGGCUGCAGAACGAGAGGUCCCGGUUCAAACCCGGGUGUCCCUU